GUGGGGAAUAUUGCGCAAUGGCCGCAAGGCUGACGCAGCGACGCCGCGUGUGGGAUGAAGGCUCUCGGGUUGUAAACCACUGUCAGGAGGGACGAAUACUCGGCUUCGAAUAGGAGACCGAGGGUGACGGUACCUCCAGAGGAAGCGCCGGCUAACUCCGUGCCAGCAGCCGCGGUAAUACGGGGGGCGCAAGCGUUGUCCGGAAUCACUGGGCGUAAAGCGCGCGUAGGCGGCCAGGUCAGUCACCUGUGAAAUCCCGGAGCUCAACUCCGGGCCUGCAGGUGAUACUGCUUGGCUAGAGCAUGGUAGAGGCAAGUGGAAUUCCCGGUGUAGCGGUGGAAUGCGUAGAUAUCGGGAAGAACACCAGUGGCGAAGGCGGCUUGCUGGGCCAUUGCUGACGCUGAGGCGCGAAAGCGUGGGGAGCAAACAGG
Molecule: ribosomal RNA, 431 nt
Filed under: uncultured bacterium
Lineage: Bacteria
Description: bacterial SSU rRNA
Rfam family: Bacterial small subunit ribosomal RNA
Source: RNAcentral